RNAcentral lists this ribosomal RNA (30 nucleotides) under Osmorhiza berteroi. Its description in RNAcentral is "partial 18S ribosomal RNA". The record is from RNAcentral. Lineage: Eukaryota; Viridiplantae; Streptophyta; Magnoliopsida; Apiales; Apiaceae.
UUCCGUAGUGAACCUGCGGAAGGAUCAUUG